ACAGCUUUUCCAGUAGCUUUGAAUUGAUGUUCUUUUUCUCUAGUUCUAUUCACUCAAUAAGCUGCACUAAUAUGUGUAUUCAAAAUUGUGAUCCCAAAUCACUUUUAAUUGACAUCACAUAGCAUUAUAAUUCUUUUUGGUAGCAACAAAUUUGCCUAUUUCUUAUCUUGCUAAUGAAGGUUGUUUUUAAAAUCAAUUUGCAUUCCAUGAGAGAAUAAGAACAAAUUGGAAGUAAAGCAGCCUACAGCAGGGAAGUCGCUCUGAAAUUUUAAAUUUGCUGGUGGGUAAUCUACCCUAUAUUGAUAAUGAGUUGUAUCUGUGUGGCAUAAAUGAGAUAUUUUAAUAUCAAGCCAUUGCCAGGUUUUGAUAAAAAGCUGUCAUAGAUUCCCACAGAUAGUAAAAUCUUAUUAAAUUGGACUUCACCUGAUCAGCAUUUGUGAAAAUUUGAGUAGAGUUAAUGUACCUAUAAAACUUUAAAGAAAUUGUUUAGUUACCUGAGAGAAACAAAGACUUAUCUGGGGUUUUUUUAGUAGCUUUCAUUAACUUGUAAUUUAAUUGCAAAGUAGCAGGGCCCAUAGGUACUUAGGUAAUCUUUUAACAUGCUAAUUAUAAAUCAUUGUCUAUUUAUUAAAAACAAUGCUUUUUUUCAUACCAAGCUUUUUUUUUUUUUUUUUAGGUUUCCUUUAGUUCUGCAUGUCCUAGAAAUAAGUAAAAUUUUCAUUUUUUUGAAGGUAUUCUUAAUAUAUUUUAUUAAUUUGGAUUAGUCUUCCCAUAAUUAAUCCCAAUUUGGUGAGGUUUUUCCACAUGCUGCAGGAUGAAUUUAUCUUUUUGUGACCAUUCUUAAAGGAAAUCAACUUUCUGUUGCACAGCAAAACCUUUUCAUUUGUUGACAUUAAGAAAAAUGGAAACUUUCAUGGUUUUAUUAAAAGUGACUUUUGUACAAUUACAAUGUAUUUGGAAGUCAAUUUUGUAAUAAACAUGUUACGAUAAAAUUGAUACAGCCUUGAUAGUAAAUGUAAAAAUAGAG
Molecule: long non-coding RNA, 1027 nt
Filed under: Sarcophilus harrisii (Tasmanian devil)
Lineage: Eukaryota; Metazoa; Chordata; Mammalia; Dasyuromorphia; Dasyuridae
Description: lncRNA (ENSSHAG00000028245.1)
Source: RNAcentral